Molecule: non-coding RNA, 3888 nt
Organism: Macaca mulatta (Rhesus monkey)
Lineage: Eukaryota; Metazoa; Chordata; Mammalia; Primates; Cercopithecidae
Source: RefSeq, a predicted model, not a curated record
UAGCUAUAGCAACAAAAAUUUCACAUUGUAAAUUUAUUACCAAUACAUGAAGCAUUUUGAGAUUUUCAGUCCCAAAACUGUGUUUAUCUAAAUUUGAGCAGGGUGUUUCUUCUGAAAGGAUCGUUGGUUAACAGAACAAGGGACUCCUCUGUUCUAGAUUCAAGGAAUGCAAAGGUAAACAUAAUUCUGAUUCUAAUUCUCAGUGAAAAAAUUCCUGUCACUGUUGCCUUAGUUUCCAUAGAGAAUCUGACACAAUUUCCAUAAACUCCAUCCUCAAACACACAGAUAAUGUUGACUUUCUCUAGCUGUAGCAAUGUGAAUUUUCCCUUAGAUUGGAGAGAUCUCAACCCUUACGUUAGGUUCUGUGUUUCCAUGGCUUAGAGGUGGCUAGGCAAUGGAAACUUCAUAUUGCUGUUUUGAAGCGGUUGGAAUUUGUAAUGAAAUUUAGUUGAAAGAAUAACUGCCAAAAAGAAAUACUUGAAAACCACUGGUCUGUAAAAAUAAAGAAGAUUCUCAAGUAUGCUGAUUAAAUAGUACCUGAGCUACUGUAUUAUAAUCUGAAAGCCAUACCUCAUGAAAUGUAUCCAGUGGAGAGUCGCCUCAAUUAAUUCUAAGGAAAUCUGAACUGCAUUAUAUAAGAGAUUAUCAUUCUUUCAGCAAGUAUUUGUUUACCAGAUUUUCACUAAUCCACUGGGCACUGCUGAUACAAUACUGAAGAAGAGGAGAAAAGGUUUUAUGGCUGAUGAAGCCGACAUUUUAGUGGGUUGAGUAUCCCAUAUCUGGAAUGCUUGGGACCAGAAGUGUUUGGGAUUUUGGAAUAUCUGCAUAUAUAUUAUGAGAUUUCUGGGAGACGGGACUCAAGUCUGAAUAAGAAAUUCAUCUAUAUGUCUCAUACAUCUUAUAGGCAUCACCUGAAGAUUAAGAAGAUGAGAUCCAAAGAGGUGAAUGACCUACCAACAAGCCCAAAACUAGCAAAUGCAACUGCAACAACAAAUCCUGAUAACAGGCUAAGUAUUAAAUCACUAAACUAAUAAUUAAAUCACUUGCUCCAUAAAAACAUAACUAUUCUUAAAACUUAUAAAUAAAUUUUCAAAUUAAAAAUAAGUGAUAGUCAAACAGAUUCCUUUCUAUCCCUCUAAGGAUGCAUAUCCAUAAUUGUUUAAAUUUAUUUGAUUUUACCUUUUGCUAUAUGCCUUCUCUUAUGUUUGGACCUUUCUCAGGUUUUCUUCAUAAUAACCUUGUUCCAAUCACAGCACAGUAACCUUUACCACUGUUUCAACAACAGAGUCUCAUCAACCAUUUUCAUCUGAUAAAAGGAAGCCCUCCUAGCUGACCUCAAUAUUUACCAUCUUUACUGAGUGAAAGCUGAUGAUCUCCAGCCUAUGUUGACUUUGCUCCAAAGAAGCUUGUGUACACCUGCACUGUACAUUAGCACAACCUGGGAGCUUUAUAAAAAAUACCAGUGCUAGAGCCUAAAGCCAGAAAAGUCAGAUGUUUGAAGAUUUAAUUUUAAGCCUCCCCACUUGAUUUUGAUGUGUUACUGAAGCCACUCGGUCUAGGGUACUUUGUUAUAUCAGCCCUAAGACACCUCCUCUUUCUUACAGCUCUUCACUUUAAUAUUCCAAACUAAGUAUUUUCCACACAUGCACCAAGCCCCUACAUUCAAAAUUCCAUAGGCUAGAACAGAAGUGUUAGGGCCAACGAUGACAUUCUAAGAAAAGAAACCCCAACAUUUCUUAAGAACAAUGAACCUAUAAACCAUUUGUAUGUGUUUGACUGCUAAAGAGCAGGUAUUCAACAAACAAAUAUUGAAUAAGGGAAAAAUAAAUGCAGUAAUAAAUGAAAAACAGAAAAACAGAGUAAUAUACCAACCGAUAAGGGGUCCUUAAAGUAAGUGUGUUUAGAACUACACCUUUAAUUGAAUACGGAACAUGAGAUGUAGGAUGGGAUGCCAGAUCAGGGAACUAUGUUGAGGGAAGAGCUUCAUUAACAAAGCAUUUAUUAGAUUGAACCAUAAGAAAUCAAUAAUAUUUGACUACUAUGAACUACAAAGAUGGCAGUUUCAUUUUACAACCUAAUAAUUUCUUAUGAGUGGCUCAUGGGUAUUUCACACUGUUCAUCAUUUUCAUUUAUUUGAUUUACAAUUAGUUAUUAAUAUUUAUACUUAUGACAUUUUUAUGGAAAUCAAACUAAGCAAUGGAGCUUAAAGCACAGAGAUGGAAUAUUUUACUUAAAAUUUUAAAACAUGUGUAGAUGAAAAACAGAGUAAUACAUGUAUGAUUGUAAAAAUUUAAGGUUGUUCUUCAGGGGUAAAUCUCAGCAUAUUUUUAACAUAUGGUAGUGACAUAGCCUCAGGACAUUUUAGUAUCACAUUUUUCUGUGACUAUAUGAAUUUCACAAACCCAAUUGCUACAGUAAACCAAUUGUACCUCUGGGCAAUUAGAAAAAAAGUGGCCCUGCCUGCGGAGGACAUAGCUUUAAUAAGGUCAAACGGCUUGAAGAGCAGAGUCCAGGAUUCAUUUCAGCUCCCACUGGCCACCUUGCCCUAGUGCACUUAUGCAGUGAACAACCUGCACAACCAUAUAUGAAGAACAUAUACUGUUGACUACUGAACAACAUGGGUUUGAACUGCAGGGUUCCGCUUAUAUGCAGAUUUUCUCCCAUCUCUGUCACUACUGAGACAGUAAAAUCAACACAUCCUCUUCCUCUUCCUCCUCAGCCUACUCAGUGUGAAGACAACCAGGAGGAAGACCUUUAUGAUGAUCUACUUCCACUUAAUAAGUAGUAAAUAUAUUCUCUUUUCCUUAUGUUUCUCUUAAUCACAGUUUCUUUUCUCUAGCAUAUUUAUUAUAUGAAUAUAGCAUAUAAUAAUAUAACAUACAAAAUAUGUGUUAAUCAACUAUUGAUGUUACCAAUAAGGCUUACAGUCAACAAUAGGAUAUUAGCAGUUAAGUUUUUAAGGAGUCAAAAGUUAUAAAUGUUCAACUGUGCAGGGAGUCAGCAACCCCAACCCUCACAUUGUUCAAAGGUCAACUGUGCAUAAUUGUCUAAAUCAGAAAUUAUUUCAUUUUCCUAGCCAGUCAUGACUUUAUUGCCAUAAGAAAUGAGGCAGACAUUACAGGAUAAGAACAUGUUUAAAAACCAAAGUAUCACUUUACUAGUUAAUGAUUGCUUAUAUAAAGAUCCACUGAACAGUGUUCAAGUAGCACCACAGGAGAUUUAGGCAGUGAAAUUACUUGUGUGUGUGCUCAUGUAUGUGAUAUGCCCAAGCAUAUCUAGAGCCACUACUUUUUGAUAUAUGCAUGGUAUGGCUAGACAAGAAGGACUUUACCUGCAGCUUGGAGUCUGCUUCAAUUGUGACCCCUUUAAAACCUCUCCAAGGACAAAAGUAAUUGGCCAUAAUGAGAUCCAAUAAUUACUUCAUUUGAAGCCAAUCAAAUGAACAAGUACCUGCCUACAAUUUAGCUGAAAUAUUGAAAUCUGACCAUUGAUUUUGAUAAGAGAAGACUCCCAGGAAUUCUGUGAAAUACAUUUCUUUUUGGAAAGGAGGACAGAGAUUUUUGAAGCCACAUACUUGAAAGCAAUCAUAAAUGAACACAAUAUGUCACUCCCAAGUUUUCCCCAAGACAGGAAAAAAUAAUUAACUAAGAAAAUAAAUAGUUAAAUAAAUAUAAGCAUUAUACAAUAAGUACGAAGGAACUUCAGGCAUUAAAGACAUAGGAAGGUGAGACUCUGAACUGCCUGGGCCAACAUAAAGCAAGUGUUCUUAUCCAUAACACUGAAUUUUGAAAUGGUCACUGUAAUUUUGGAAGUCUACUGUGCUUUGAAAAUUAAUUUUUUCACUUUUACUAAAAGUUAUGUAUUACUCAGAAACUAUAAACAUUUGUC